Molecule: ribosomal RNA, 253 nt
Filed under: uncultured bacterium
Lineage: Bacteria
Description: partial 16S ribosomal RNA
Rfam family: Bacterial small subunit ribosomal RNA
Source: RNAcentral
UACGGGGGGAGCAAGCGUUGUUCGGAUUUACUGGGCGUAAAGGGCGCGUAGGCGGCGUGACAAGUCACUUGUGAAAUCUCCGGGCUUAACUCGGAACGGUCAAGUGAUACUGUCGUGCUAGAGUACAGAAGGGGCAACUGGAAUUCUCGGUGUAGCGGUGAAAUGCGUAGAUAUCGAGAGGAACAUCUGCGGCGAAGGCGGGUUGCUGGGCUGAUACUGACGCUGAGGCGCGAAAGCCAGGGGAGCGAACGGG